UCUCAAUACCAUGUUACUGUCCUGACCGACAAAGUGGUAGUAGGAGCCACUGGCAUUGUUCCAAGUGCAAGAAAGUAAUUCAAAGGUCUUUUGAUUUCAAAUGCCACUUAAAAAAACAUGGUCUGAUGUUCCCAGAAAAAGCCUCAGAUGACAGAAAACCCUGCCAGGAAACCAUCCAUGUUGACCCAGUUCAGAAAGAGAACCUGUUCUGCAGGAAAUGUGGGAUUCACUUCACCAGCACAUCCAACUACCAAUAACAUGAAAGACAGCAGCAUGGCAGACAGGAACCAAUGAUAUGCAUUGAUCCUGUAAAUGGAAAUAUAUGUGACAACAAAAGAAUCUCACGGAAUGAGACUACCAAUACAUGUGCAAAAGUCUUCUGUUUU
Molecule: long non-coding RNA, 386 nt
Organism: Labeo rohita (rohu)
Lineage: Eukaryota; Metazoa; Chordata; Actinopteri; Cypriniformes; Cyprinidae
Exons: 3
Source: RefSeq, a predicted model, not a curated record